RNAcentral lists this ribosomal RNA (458 nucleotides) under uncultured bacterium. RNAcentral describes it as "partial 16S ribosomal RNA". It matches the Rfam family "Bacterial small subunit ribosomal RNA", at positions 28 to 507 of the family's 1533-position model. The record is from RNAcentral.
GAUAAACGCUGGCGGCGUGCAUGAGACAUGCAAGUCGAACGAAGGAUCGGGCUUGCUCGAUCCUUAGUGGCGGACGGCUGAGUAACGCGUAGGUGACCUACCCCGAAGUGGGGAAUAACUGCCCGAAAGGGUGGCUAAUACCGCAUGUGGUCGCACGUUCAUUCGUGCGAGUAAAGCCGCAAGGCGCUUCGGGAGGGGCCUGCGUCCGAUUAGCUCGUUGGUGGGGUAAUGGCUUACCAAGGCGACGAUCGGUAGGUGGGCUGAGAGGACGAUCACCCAGACUGGGACUGAGACACAGCCCAGACUCCUACGGGAGGCAGCAGUCGGGAAUUUUGCUCAAUGGGGGAAACCCUGAAGCAGCAACGCCGCGUGAGGGAUGAAGGCCUUCGGGUUGUAAACCUCUUUUGUCAGGGACGAUGAUGACGGUACCUGGCGAAUAAGCCACGGCUAACUACGUG